RNAcentral lists this ribosomal RNA (464 nucleotides) under uncultured bacterium. Its description in RNAcentral is "bacterial SSU rRNA". It matches the Rfam family "Bacterial small subunit ribosomal RNA", at positions 331 to 792 of the family's 1533-position model. The record is from RNAcentral.
CCAGACUCCUACGGGAGGCAGCAGUGAGGAAUAUUGGUCAAUGGGCGUAAGCCUGAACCAGCCAAGUCGCGUGAGGGACGACGGCCCUACGGGUUGUAAACCUCUUUUGCCGGGGGACAAACGGCGGCACGCGUGCCGUCCUGAGGGUACCCGGAGAAAAAGCAUCGGCUAACUCCGUGCCAGCAGCCGCGGUAAUACGUAGGGGGCAAGCGUUAUCCGGAUUUACUGGGUGUAAAGGGAGCGUAGACGGAGCGUCAAGUCUGGAGUGAAAUGCCGCGGCUUAACCGCGGAACUGCUUUGGAAACUGGCGCGCUUGAGUGCGGGAGGGGUAAGCGGAAUUCCUAGUGUAGCGGUGAAAUGCGUAGAUAUUAGGAGGAACACCGGUGGCGAAGGCGGCUUACUGGACCGUAACUGACGUUGAGGCUCGAAAGCGUGGGGAGCAAACAGGAUUAGAUACCCGCGUA